This is an RNA transcript of Sorghum bicolor (sorghum), 2757 nucleotides long. It is a transcript of the gene named CRS2-associated factor 1, mitochondrial, with no coding region annotated. The transcript is spliced from 8 exons. Lineage: Eukaryota; Viridiplantae; Streptophyta; Magnoliopsida; Poales; Poaceae. The record is from RefSeq and is a predicted model, not a curated record.
CAGUAGCUAAACUUUCAAACAGAACAACUAAAAAGAGACUAAAAUACUUUAGUCCUACUAGUCAGCUAAGAGUAGCUAAAAUAAUUUUAGCUGCUAAAAUAGUCUUACUAGGGGAACCAAAUAGUCUGUUAUUCUUUGCUCUGAAAUUAGUAUCACACUGCGUUCUAUACGGGCCUACUUGCUUGAGAUCACAGUGACAGUGUGGAUCAGAGCCUGAUACAUUCGAAUCGGGCCGUUCGUUUGUCGAGGCAGCCUUCCAUUGCACGGACGCGAUUUCUUCUCCCCCCAAAACCCCACUACCAGGAGAGGCUUUGUUCUGUACUUGUGACCCUUCAAACCCCACCGCACCGCCGCCCGCCGGCUGUCUCCCAGCUCACCGCCGGCGCCCUCACCGCCGCCCCAUGCUCCUCGCCCCCAUCCUCCUCCUCCGCCGCGCGCGCGCACCACCCACCCUCCCUCCCCGCCGCCACCUCUCGCGCCUCCUCGACCGCUACGGCUUCGUGGCCCCGGACUCCCUCGCCCCGGCGGCCCCGCGAGAACCUCCCAGCGACACAGCCUCCUCGACGAAGAAGCGCCGCGCGAAGAAGCCGCCGUACCGCCCGCCGUCCUCGCUGGACCGAGGCGGCCGGCCGCCGGCGCACUCCGACCUCCCCUUCGACUUCCGCUUCAGCUACACCGAGAGCACCCCGGCGUCCAAGCCCAUCGGGCUCCGCGAGCCCAGGUACUCCCCGUUCGGCCCCGGGCGGCUCGACCGGCCCUGGACGGGGCUCUGCGCGCCCGCCGUCGACGCUACCCUGCGCGACGUCGAGGCAGAGGAUCCCCUUCCCGACGCCGAGAAGGGGCUGGAGGAGGCGCGACGGCGAGAGCGGGAGCGCGUGCUGGGAGAGCCGCUCACCCCCGCUGAGCGUGCGUUCUUGGUCGACAAGUGCCAGAAGAACCGCACCAAGCGUCAGAUCAACCUUGGGAGAGAUGGGCUUACUCAUAACAUGCUAAACGAUAUUCACAAUAACUGGAAGACUUGUGAGGCUGUCAGGAUAAAAUGCCUCGGUGUGCCAACGGUUGAUAUGCAAAAUGUGUGCCAUCAGCUUGAGGAUAAAACUGGUGGCGUGAUCAUCCACCGGCAUGGUAGCCUGUUGAUACUGUACAGGGGUAGGCAUUAUAAUCCAAAGAAAAGACCUGUGAUUCCGUUGAUGCUGUGGAAACCUGCUGAACCUGUUUACCCGAGGCUAAUCAAAACAACAAUAGAAGGGCUCACAGUUGAGGAGACAAAGCAAAUGAGGAAGAAGGGCCUACAUGCUCCUGUUUUGACAAAGCUUGCCAAGAACGGAUACUAUGCUAGUAUUGUGCCAAUGGUCCGGGAUGCCUUUUUGAUGGAUGAGCUAGUACGAAUAGACUGUAAAGGAUUGCCAAAAAGUGACUAUAAGAAGAUUGGAGUCAAGCUCAGGGAUCUUGUUCCUUGCAUUCUUGUCUCCUUUGACAAGGAGCAAAUUAUUGUUUGGAGGGGAAAGGAAGUUGGAAGCCUACAAGAUCAAACACAGAAGUCAUUCCUUUCAUUUAUUGACUCAGAUGGUGCAUCAGUGAAGGAUGAGACUGGUGAUCAGGAACAAAUACCAAGUGAUUGGUCUUCUGAUGAGUGUUCUGCGAUCAGCAGCUCAGAUGAAGUGCCAAAUGACAAGCCAGUAAUUUCUGAUCUAGACUCUUCUAAGUCGAUCUGACAUAUCCAGAAUACACAGUUCACAUAGUUACAAAGCUGUUACUGGACAUCAACAAUUGGGAGUCGGCAGUACAAGCUUGGGAACCAAACAGGGCCGGCAUCUGUUUCUCUGUUCUGCAUUUGUUGAUGCAUGGUGUCCCUUUGGCCUUGGUUAGUAACGACAGCAUGUCAACAACUCAGGAUCGAACAAUCCAUCCAAACAUAAGAUAUUGGAGGAAAACAAGCUCUAGUCAUUGCCGUCUUGCCUACUUGCUCAUGUUGGGUGACUGCACACCAGCCAUGUGCUGAAAACCAUCUCCUAAAUGGAGCAUUCAAGAUCAGAAGAAACUGAACCCUCUUUCCUUCCCCUGUCGAUGGUUCAUAUCCCUCUAAUCCUCACUUCAAAUGCCAUCUUGAGGAGAAUAAACCUGUUCUGGUCGGUUUACUUACCUCAAAUCCACACUUCAAAUGGAGGACAUAUACCAUCCCAGCAAAUCUGUUCAGCAACCAAGGCAUCAGUUGUACUGUACUUCAGAUCUUGGAGGAAACCAAGCUGAAAUUGGCGAUUACCUUUUGCAGACUCUGAUUACCAGUUAGUUUGUUUUCCUCCCACCCUCAUUUUCAGCACCCGAUGAUCACUCAGCAAGUAGGAACAACAAAUGACCUGGAAAGUGGAAACAUGCCGAAAUUCUCCUUGUAUCAUCAAAGGAUGCUUUUUAUAGCUCCAUUGAAACUACAUUUUACAGUAAAGGGUAGGUCAGGGCAAAGCAAACUUUUAUUUUUCACCAGAAAGGGCAGGGCGAGUUUUGAGCAAGGCAGCAUGAUCAGUACUGAACAAAUGUUUCUAGCAAAACUAAAUUUGUCAGGGUUCAGGGGGUGAGGAGUAUAGAUUCUUGCAUUUGACAUUGAAGCUUGAAGCCCUUAUUUUGGGCCUGGUUUGUACUAACAGUUAGUCGACAGUUCAGUAUCACUUAAUUCAACCUAGGUUAGAUAUUGGAGGACAACAAACUCGAUGACCAACAUGGAUUGUGUCUGUUUGUCUGUGACAGUGAUUGGGAGUAUGA